UACGUAGGGACCGAGCGUUGUCCGGAAUCAUUGGGCGUAAAGAGCGUGUAGGCGGCCUUUUAAGUCCUGCGUGAAAUCCUGCGGCUCAACCGCAGACGGUCGUGGGAAACUGGAAGGCUAGAGUGCGGGAGAGGAGAGUGGAAUUCCCGGUGUAGCGGUGAAAUGCGCAGAUAUCGGGAAGAACACCCGUGGCGAAGGCGGCUCUCUGGAACGCAACUGACGCUGAGACGCGGAAAGCGUGGGGAGCAAACAGGG
Molecule: ribosomal RNA, 255 nt
Filed under: uncultured bacterium
Lineage: Bacteria
Description: partial 16S ribosomal RNA
Rfam family: Bacterial small subunit ribosomal RNA
Source: RNAcentral